AAGCAAGUUCAGUGCUUGUUUCAGCAGCUAGAAUGAUACAGAGAAGAUUAGCAUGGCUCCUGCGCAAGGAUGACAUGCAAAUUCGUGAAGCGUUCCAUAUUAUU
RNAcentral lists this small nuclear RNA (104 nucleotides) under Castor canadensis (American beaver). Lineage: Eukaryota; Metazoa; Chordata; Mammalia; Rodentia; Castoridae. The record is from RNAcentral.